Molecule: long non-coding RNA, 1550 nt
Organism: Polypterus senegalus (gray bichir)
Lineage: Eukaryota; Metazoa; Chordata; Cladistia; Polypteriformes; Polypteridae
Exons: 3
Source: RefSeq, a predicted model, not a curated record
AACACACAUAUGCGAUAACUGACACUUAAAAAUAGCGCACUUUCGCCUGUAGCCAGGGUACAUAGGAAGGAACAUCAUGACUCUCUCUUUAAUUGGGUAUGCUGGAUUGGUGUCAUGAAGCAUUGAAAGAGAAAAUGGUGCCCAGAAUAUAAAACUGAACAAUAACCAGAAGGGUGUUUCUUUUGACUGCUUGGUGUUUCGGUGUAAGGUUAACAGACUUCAGCUUUGGCAAUGUAAUGGACGUGUACUACACAGUGAUGUCACCUUUCUCUGGUGGACUUUCUUCUGUGAUGGCAAUUUGCGACACCACCAUCUGAUCAAGGCAGCCACCUUUGAUACUAGAAUGAAGGUGGUACCUUACCUGUCCACGAAAUUGAUUUCCUCAGAUCCUCUCAUAAGAAGCCUGGAAACAUAUGAAGCCUGAAUUAAGAAUACUUAUGUUAGGCAGAAUGCCCAGUGGGGGCUAAACUGUCUUUUGGCCUUGGAACACCUGUGGCUUUUUUUUCACCAGUUUAACUGGAGGUUUUUUUUUGGUUUUGUUUUGCUUUUUCGGUCCUCCCACACAUCUGCCCAUAUCACCGGACUCAUCUUUAUAGACAUACAUCCUGAGAUUUUACAUUAAAUAAGUCAAAUGUGCUUUAGCAGGGGGCCAUUGACUUUGUAGUUGGGAGGUGGCCGAGUACAAAGACUUAUAUGCAGGAGGUGGGAGGUCAGGAUUUUGUGACACAGUAUAAGUUUGUAUGCUUGAUGAUACUUAAAGGUAAGAAAGUUAGGAUGCUAUUCCACCAGGCAGUCAAGCUAACAAUAUGCUUAGGUGGGCCCAGAGAAAAAAAAACACACUUGCUUGUUUAUAUCAACUUUACUCUGUUAGAAUACCUGUGUAUUCUGUUACAUGUGACAACGUAAGUGGUAAGGCUGAUCAUUUUAAUGUCAAAUUCAUGGUAGCGGCCUACAUAUUUGCCACUGAAAAACUUUGUAACAAAUCAACUCAGCUUUAAUCUCAUGGAAAAGUCAAAACACUCGGUAAACACAAUAGAAAGUGCUGUGUGCAAAUGUAUGAAAAGCUAACCUUAACAAACCACAGUGAAACAUUGAAGGCUCAUAUUAUAAAAUACAAUUCUGUAGCUCGAUGUGAGAGAUAACCGUACUUUUCUAAAGUAAUAAACAACAGUGCUAGAAAUCUAAGAGUAUUAUUUUCAACUCACACCACUGAAUAUGACAUUAUCAAAGGAAUAGAUACUGAAGCCAUCAGUGGCUAAAUGUGAGACUUAGACAGUACUGUUCUUCAGAUAAAAUACAUAAAAUACCAUGUAGUAUAACACCAACCUUAAAGAGAAACUUCAAUAUUGUGAACAUGGUGAAUUAAACUCCUUUACUAAAAUAAGACUAGCUGCUCUUUGUAGAAUAAUUAUUCACACAAUUCACAUGUAUCCUUAGUUGUAGAUUCUACAGGCUUUUCAAAAGAAGUCUCGACCUGCUAACUGACAGUUUACAGGUCAUAGAUAACUGUUCAUUUAAUUUCAGAUUUGUCUUGGACAAAUUUACCUACU